Molecule: ribosomal RNA, 255 nt
Filed under: uncultured bacterium
Lineage: Bacteria
Description: partial 16S ribosomal RNA
Rfam family: Bacterial small subunit ribosomal RNA
Source: RNAcentral
UACGUAGGGUGCGAGCGUUAAUCGGAAUUACUGGGCGUAAAGAGUGCGUAGGCGGAAAUGUAAGUUAGAUGUGAAAUCCCCCGAGCUUAACUUGGGAGUUGCAUUUAAGACUGCAUAUCUAGAGAUUGUCAGAGGGGGGUAGAAUUCCAAGUGUAGCAGUGAAAUGCGUAGAGAUUUGGAGGAAUACCGAUGGCGAAGGCAGCCCCCCUGGGAUAAAUCUGACGCUGAGGCACGAAAGCGUAGGUAGCAAACAGG